Rhineura floridana is the source of this 500-nucleotide long non-coding RNA. RefSeq lists it as uncharacterized. The record is from RefSeq and is a predicted model, not a curated record. Lineage: Eukaryota; Metazoa; Chordata; Lepidosauria; Squamata; Rhineuridae. The transcript is spliced from 4 exons.
UCUAUGCUGUCUGGGGCUAGAGAGAGUUGGAGUUCAGUGAGCCAAGCGGACCUAAAACCCAGCCCCCAAAGCCAUUUCUCCUCUGAAGUAAACUCCUUCUGAUACCAAAGAACAAACUCUAAGUUUAAACUGAACUGACAUAAUCUUCAAACCAAAAGAUACCAGCUGGGCCAGAGUGAUCAGAAUAACCACCUGCAUUUUAAGGGCUGCCUACUCCCAAAUGCGGCUGCCUGACAAUUAUGUUCAGAGGCCCUGCUCUCCAUCCUGUGAAUACAUGUGAGAUCAGAUGAUCAGGUAUAAGAGAGAGAGCCUGCUCAGUGAUUGUGUCCAAAGUGUGGAACGCCACCCCCUUGAAGAUCUGCAAGGCCCCCUCCCUCUUCGCUUUUAAACAGCUUUUGAAGGUCUUCUUGUUUCAAUGUGAUUGUAAUGUGUGAGCUAAAUCUGCUAUUUUUAAGAUUUUAUAUAUGUUGCCUUGAAUGUAUAAGGCUUUUAUGUUUCUA